AAUGUUGGUGUUUCCACUCUUGAAUACUUUUUUCCAAUGGGUUUAUACAACUAUUCAAGUUCAACUAGAAAAAAAUAGCGUUUAGGUCAAAAAUAUAAAUGAUUAAUUAAAUCUGACCUUUCAAGUACAUUAUAACUGUUAGGAAUGGUAAGUACACACAUGCUACAUUAACAGAAGCUGAUUAUGAUUAAACAUUACAAGGGAUACAAAGUUCAGUGAGUGGCCUUAAGAGAGGCCUUACAUGUCUGGUACAGAAGGGUGAUCAAGAGGAAAGUUUACAAAGGAGGUGAUAUUUGAGAUAGGCCUUAAAGGAUGGCUGGGAUUUCAGCUUGCAGCUUUAUUGUUAGAGGGAACAGCAUGAGCGAAGAAUGAAGUCAGAUAAGAGUUUAGGGACCCUUUAAAGGGUUGUCAAAGGGAUGAUGAUGACAUUAAUUGUGAACUAUAAUUUGGUGCCUUCCGGUGAAGCACUUCUAAGGGCCAGCUGGAGCACUGGAAUUUUACUUAAUAAACAUUGAGAAAACAUGAGAGAAUUUUAAGCAGGCAAAAUUAAUCUGGAAGCAGUUUAGAGAAGGUUGUACUAAGGGGCCUGGAAACUGGAAACCUAAGAACCACUGCAGUGGCCCAGGAGAAAACUGACCUUAACUGAAGCUGAAACAGUGGCAAAGGAGAAAGUAAAUGAAAAGAAAGCAGCACUGGCAGCACUGCUAGAGUGGAAUCCACAUGUCGGCUUGGCUGGCACCGGGGAAAGAGUCACCAGCCCACGCACCCACACUGGUGCCAUGACCAGGUGAACAGGGGCACCAGCUUCAGAUCAAAAGAAAAUCAGCAGAAGCAGAAUGUUUGAGUCCCAGAAAGGGGAGGACUCAGUGAGCUUGGAAUUGUUACUAAGUAUUAAUAGGUGGUAUUGGACCAAGUGUUGGGAUGGCAUGUGCUACGCAAGUGCUCUGAGCUACACCCCUAUUGAGACAAAGUCUUGCUCCAUUGCCCAGGUUGGCCUUCAACUUUCACCUUCCAGCUUCAGCCUCCUGAGUAGGUGGGAUUAUAGGUGUGCACCACGACUCCCAGAAAACCACCAUUGAGCUGGACAUGAUGGUCAGCACCUGUAAUCUCAACACUUGGGAAGUGUUGAGGCAGAAGGAUCACAAGUUCCAGCCCAGUCUGGCCCAGAGCUGCAUGUUCCUCCAAAGGGUAUCACUGCACGUCAUUCACUUGCCGUGAGGGCCAUCUGGGCCCAAACUGGGAGAAAAGGAGAGGAGGAAAAAGGCAAAGAGGUAAAUUUCCCAAAACUACCUAAAAAGAACUGAAUGAAGGGAUACAAUGUAAAUUAAGGGUCA
This is a long non-coding RNA of Heterocephalus glaber (naked mole-rat), 1334 nucleotides long. RefSeq lists it as uncharacterized. The record is from RefSeq and is a predicted model, not a curated record. Lineage: Eukaryota; Metazoa; Chordata; Mammalia; Rodentia; Bathyergidae.